Molecule: unclassified non-coding RNA, 3364 nt
Filed under: Hevea brasiliensis (rubber tree)
Lineage: Eukaryota; Viridiplantae; Streptophyta; Magnoliopsida; Malpighiales; Euphorbiaceae
Source: RNAcentral
UGAUAAAAGAAAAGGAGACUCUAAAUUAUUGGGGUAGACAAGAUUAAACUUAAAUUGGCAGCAAAUCCAUACAAUACAGCUGUGCUCGUUAUCAUGAUCCCAUACACACACUGAACUAAGAAACAGGAUUUCAUCAUGAUCCCAUAGACGGAGGGAAAUAGGCCCGUGUGAUUACAGGCACUGGGAAACACCUUUUUUUAAUUAUAUGAGUGUCUCAUACGGGUGGUCCUACUCCUACAGUUUAAAUAUCGACAAAGGCAUAUCCUACAUUUUCAGAGCUGUAAAUCUUCUGCAAAUCUAAAGAAUCUUCAACAAGCUAACAUAAUGCCACUCAAGCAGGUUUAGACGCAAGGACAAAAGAAAUGCAUAACCUUACUCAAGUAGAUGAGUGCAAAUGCAACCUCCUCAACCUUUCCCAUAUGAGUCCAGCCUUACCAUCAACUCUUUGCAAGAGACGUCGGCAUAGCACAUAUAUGAAUUUAUGCAAACAAUUUUCAAUUCCCUUUGUUGUAGGACUCCAUAAAUAGCUUCGUGCAGACUAUUUCUCCCUCCUCUCUUAUUCAAAUCCAAAUCAUUAAACUGUUAAGUUCUAUCCUUCACUCGCUGCCCACCUUUAACCGAAGGCCAGGCAACAUAUCAUGGUUUCACGUCCGUGAUCCCCAUUUUGCAUAACAACCUGGUCCUGGACAACUGGUUGGACCAUCCAGUCCUGACACGCCUUAUCCAUACACAUCAUUUAGCAAUUUUAGUUAGGUUUAAGGGACAAUCAAAGACAAAUACCAUGGGAAAAUAUGUAGACGUAUCCAAGUCCCCAAACUAUUGGAAGGCAAAUGCAGGAGUUAAGGAUAAACCCGUCCAGGUUCAGAAACACAUUAGUUUUUUCCAGAAAAACAGCUACAAACCAAAACUCCUUCCCAUCAAUUGCCUUAGUCUAGUAAUUUGUUUUGCCAAGUGGGAACUCAUAGUUUCAAUCAACAGUCUUCAUUUUUACAAAAUUGAAAAACUCCAGCCAGCUAGGCGAUUUUAACUGGUCAAUCCAAAUCCAAAUGUGUCUUUCUUUGAUAUUGAACAAAAUACCAGCAAAAAAUUUAAUAACAACCGGUAGAAUUUUCAUCUUCUUGCUCUGACUACUGAUAUGCAUUCAUAUCUGGUCUCUUCUAAACAGUAAAUAAUAGCAAAUACUUCUCUGCCACUCAACUUCAAGUAAGGUAUCUGUUUGAAAUGAUAAUUUGCCGAAACAUUAGUAACAUUGCUGAUAAUGAGUACUUGUCAUCAACUGUGUUUGGAAUAAAUAAAUAUGAAAUUCAUUUUCAUUAUUAACAAAAUAGAUUGACAAAUCAAUUUCGAUAUUUGUAUAUUAAUUAUUAAAUAUAGUAUUUAUUUGCAAGCUUGAGUAUAAUCAAUUCCAUAGAAUUAAAGAUGUAAAAUUGCAAACUAUCUUUUUUACACACCAAAAGUUUCAAGUUUGAAUUUGUAAAGGAAUUCCAUAAAAAUUGUUAUAUGGAAUCCAUUUAUACCACAUAAGCUCGAAAGGAAACUUCAUUCCCUCAUUUACAAAAACACUCACAAGUCAAGGAGAACCAGAAAUGUGCAUUCCAUUCUCUUUAAUCAAAUCGACUCUCUCUCUAGAUACAAGGAUAGGAUAUACAAUAUGUUAGCAGCUAAUCCCCUCAGAAGAAUAACAGACAAAUCAAUGAAAAUGAAAAACCAAGAAGAAAUAAUUAUCAUAUAAAGCUUUAGCAUAGCAAAUUAGCAAAAGGAGAGAGAAAAGCAUACCCAUUUUCUUUUCUCUUUCUCUAUUCAGUAUCCGAAGGUAAAUAUGUAGAAUUAUUGGGUAAAGAUUCAUUAGGUAAUUGUGAAGAAGCCGCGGCCGCAGUUUCAGAUUCCUCCUGCAUCAACUUCUGCAACCCAGGUUUCAAUUCCUUGCUACAAAACUCCUCAUACUCUCCUCUAUCCCCUCCUUUCUUCUUAACAUCAACCACCACUAGUUUCGGCGUUAGCUCAAAUAUUUCAGCUGCAAUUGUUAAUGGACCUUUGACACCCUCCCUAGACCCUUCCAAACUCACUCUGUAAUCCUUUUUCCUCACUGUAAAGCUCACAACUUUAGCAAUUUCCUCCAGUUUUGAUAUAAUCUUGGAUACAGGAGCACCAGAAACAAUUCUUGCUCCCUCUCCACCAUCUUCAAACAACCCAGAUAAAUUAAACCCAGGCGAAAAGGAUAUAAUGUCAAAAGCAUUCAAACUUGCAGGUCUAGGUAAUGAAGUAACCCUUCUUCGAUUUUCCAUUUCAGAUUCUGAUUCAGACUGUGAUUGCUCGGAGGAUGAACCGGCAUCAUCCUGCUGUCCCUCAGCGUCAAAACUAAAAACUUUAUCAUCCUCAAUGUAAAAUUUGAUAUGCUUGAACCCCUUUUUGAACCACUUAUUCUCCAUUACCUCAGGCAUCGUAAUUCGAGUUUCAGGGUUUGUAUCAAGAAGCCUCCAGAGAAGUCUAAUGAGCUCCGGAGAGAACCAUCUAGGACACCGGAACUCACCCUUAUGGAUCUUCCUGUACAUGACCAUGAUAUUCUGGUCAUGGAAUGGCAAGUAACCAGCCAUCAACACAAACAAAAUCACCCCACAAGACCAGAUGUCUACUUUCGCAGCAUCGUAACCUUUUCUCGCCAGAACUUCCGGUGCAACAUACGCCGGCGUCCCGCAAAAAGUAUGAAACAAACCAUCUUGUCUAAUCUGAUCGGAGACCGCACUAAGGCCAAAAUCAGAGACUUUCAAGUCACCAUUCUCAUCAAGCAGAAGAUUUUCCGGCUUGAGAUCUCGAUGAAACACGCCCCUGGCAUGACAAAAUGACACUGCAGAUAUCAAUUGCUGGAAAUAUUUCCUAGCCACCUCCUCUUUUAACCUUCCCUUAGCGACCUUAUUAAACAAUUCACCGCCACGGACGUAUUCCAUGACGAAAUAGAUCUUGGCCUUGGUAGCCAUGACCUCAAAAAGCUGAACUAUAUUAGGGUGGCGAACACGGCGAAGAAUGGAGAUUUCACGCUUGAUAUGAGCAAUAAGGCCACCUUUAAGAAUCUUCUCUUUGUCAAUAACUUUGAUGGCUACGCUCUCGUUGGUCUUGACAUUACGGGCAUGGUAGACCUUGGCGAAGGCUCCAUGGCCAAGAAGUUUACCGAUCUCGUAUCGACCCAGAAGAAGAGUCUGGUUACUGUUGGUAUUGGUCUGGGUUUUGGGUGCCAUGGAUGGAUUUGAGGGAGAAAGGAAUUGAGUUUUGAUUCGAUGUUGAUUUUUGGGCGGAAAAAACAGAGCUAAUGGUAACACGAUGAAGUGCUUUAUUUUGUGGCUUCCGGUUUGAGGCUGCAAGGCGAUGC